This 468-nucleotide ribosomal RNA is filed under the name uncultured bacterium. RNAcentral's name for it is "partial 16S ribosomal RNA". It matches the Rfam family "Bacterial small subunit ribosomal RNA", at positions 28 to 507 of the family's 1533-position model. The record is from RNAcentral.
GACGAACGCUGGCGGCGUGCUUAACACAUGCAAGUCGAACGGGAAGGCCGUGCUUAUGUGGGGUGCUCGAGUGGCGAACGGGUGAGUAACACGUGAGUACCCAGCCCUUGACUUUGGGAUAACUUAAGGAAACUGGGGCUAAUACCGGAUAGGAGCUCCUGCUGCAUGGUGGGGGUUGGAAAGUUUCGGCGGUUGGGGGUGGACUCGCGGCGUAUCAGCUUGUUGGUGUGGUAGUGGCUUACCAAGGCUUUGACGGGUAGCCGGCCUGCGAGGGUGAGCCGCCACAUUGGACCGGAGAUGCGGCACAGACUCCUCCGGGAGGCAGCAGUGGAGUAUGUUACACUAGGGGCUGAAGCCUGAUGCAGCCACGCCGCGUGCGGUAUGAUGGCCUUCGGGUUGGGAUCCGCUUUCGCCUGUGACGAAGCGUUAGUGACGGUAAUGGGUAAAGAAGCACCGGCUAACUACGUG